UAUUAUUUAUUUUAAAA
This 17-nucleotide unclassified non-coding RNA is filed under the name synthetic construct. RNAcentral describes it as "RNA (17-MER) from synthetic construct (PDB 5K36, chain L)". The record is from RNAcentral.